This 1688-nucleotide ribosomal RNA is filed under the name Staphylococcus pseudintermedius. Its description in RNAcentral is "partial 23S ribosomal RNA". It matches the Rfam family "Bacterial large subunit ribosomal RNA", at positions 1239 to 2925 of the family's 2925-position model. The record is from RNAcentral. Lineage: Bacteria; Bacillati; Bacillota; Bacilli; Caryophanales; Staphylococcaceae.
UUCUAAGGGCGUUGAAGCAUGAUCGCAAGGACAUGUGGAGCGCUUAGAAGUGAGAAUGCCGGUGUGAGUAGCGAAAGACGGGUGAGAAUCCCGUCCACCGAUUGACUAAGGUUUCCAGAGGAAGGCUCGUCCGCUCUGGGUUAGUCGGGUCCUAAGCUGAGGCCGACAGGCGUAGGCGAUGGAUAACAGGUUGAUAUUCCUGUACCACCAUUAUUCGUUUUAAGCGAUGGGGGGACGCAGUAGGAUAGGCGAAGCGUGCUGUUGGAGUGCACGUCCAAGCAGUGAGAUUGAGUGUUAGGCAAAUCCGGCACUCUUAAGAUUGAGCUGUGAUGGGGAGAGGAACUUGUUCCUCGAGUCGUUGAUUUCACACUGCCGAGAAAAGCCUCUAGCUAGAAUAACGGUGCCCGUACCGCAAACCGACACAGGUAGUCAAGAUGAGAAUUCUAAGGUGAGCGAGCGAACUCUCGUUAAGGAACUCGGCAAAAUGACCCCGUAACUUCGGGAGAAGGGGUGCUCUUUGAGGUUCACGCUUCGAAGAGCCGCAGUGAAUAGGCCCAAGCGACUGUUUAUCAAAAACACAGGUCUCUGCUAAACCGUAAGGUGACGUAUAGGGGCUGACGCCUGCCCGGUGCUGGAAGGUUAAGAGGAGUGGUUAGCGCAAGCGAAGCUACGAAUCGAAGCCCCAGUAAACGGCGGCCGUAACUAUAACGGUCCUAAGGUAGCGAAAUUCCUUGUCGGGUAAGUUCCGACCCGCACGAAAGGCGUAACGAUUUGGGCACUGUCUCAACGAGAGACUCGGUGAAAUCAUAGUACCGGUGAAGAUGCCGGUUACCCGCGACAGGACGGAAAGACCCCGUGGAGCUUUACUGUAGCCUGAUAUUGAAAUUCGGUACAGUUUGUACAGGAUAGGUAGGAGCCUUAGAAGCGUGAGCGCUAGCUUACGUGGAGGCAUUGGUGGGAUACUACCCUAAUUGUAUUGGAUUUCUAACCCGCAGCACUUAUCGUGCUGGGAGACAGUGUCAGGCGGGCAGUUUGACUGGGGCGGUCGCCUCCUAAAGAGUAACGGAGGCGCUCAAAGGUUCCCUCAGAAUGGUUGGAAAUCAUUCAUAGAGUGUAAAGGCAUAAGGGAGCUUGACUGCGAGACCUACAAGUCGAGCAGGGUCGAAAGACGGACUUAGUGAUCCGGUGGUUCCGCAUGGAAGGGCCAUCGCUCAACGGAUAAAAGCUACCCCGGGGAUAACAGGCUUAUCUCCCCCAAGAGUUCACAUCGACGGGGAGGUUUGGCACCUCGAUGUCGGCUCAUCGCAUCCUGGGGCUGUAGUCGGUCCCAAGGGUUGGGCUGUUCGCCCAUUAAAGCGGUACGCGAGCUGGGUUCAGAACGUCGUGAGACAGUUCGGUCCCUAUCCGUCGUGGGCGUAGGAAAUUUGAGAGGAGCUGUCCUUAGUACGAGAGGACCGGGAUGGACAUACCUCUGGUGUACCAGUUGUCGUGCCAACGGCAUAGCUGGGUAGCUAUGUAUGGACGGGAUAAGUGCUGAAAGCAUCUAAGCAUGAAGCCCCCCUCGAGAUGAGAUUUCCCAACUUCGGUUAUAAGAUCCCUCAAAGAUGAUGAGGUGAAUAGGUUCGAGGUGGAAGCGUAGCGAUACGUGGAGCUGACGAAUACUAAUCGAUCGAAGACUUAAUCAAUAU